AUGGCCAAUAUCAUUUUGCUCCUUUUGAUCUCCAUCUUCGGGAGGGGGGAGGCGCAGCCUUUCCCCUUCCUCCAAGGAAGGGGUGCGGCCAAGAGGGGGGGGGAGUCCAUCCUCCCCAAGGCACCUCGGAGGUGCCUUCCCCCUUGA
RNAcentral lists this ribosomal RNA (147 nucleotides) under Triticum aestivum (bread wheat). Its description in RNAcentral is "partial small subunit ribosomal RNA". Lineage: Eukaryota; Viridiplantae; Streptophyta; Magnoliopsida; Poales; Poaceae. The record is from RNAcentral.